This is a long non-coding RNA of Harpia harpyja (harpy eagle), 381 nucleotides long. RefSeq lists it as uncharacterized. The record is from RefSeq and is a predicted model, not a curated record. NCBI's taxonomy places the organism in Eukaryota, Metazoa, Chordata, Aves, Accipitriformes, Accipitridae. The transcript is spliced from 3 exons.
CCAGGUCCAGAGUUCACAAGUGAUUUGCUCUUGAGAAAGGAACUUCUUCUUGACUGCUUUGUCUUUUGGUCUGCCAAACUGAAAUAGGCAAAAUGGACGAAGUAUACCAGAUCUCUUCUAUUGAGAAGGUGCAGCAGCUGGAACAAGAACUAGCAGCACAGCUGGCAGAGCUGAAGGCAGAAAUAGAAGACAACAGGAUACUCCAGGGAACACUGAGUAGGGCAUACAGGAUGCAUCUUAUUUCAGAAAAGAAAGGGAGGUAAUACUGAAGAAAGGCUUACAGGUGACAGAAGCAAAACCUCUUGUUAUUCAGGCUGAUGUCGUGCAGAGGGAGUUAGAGAGCUGGUGGAGAAGGGAGCACACAGCAGCAAACUUGCCUCU